This is an RNA transcript of Myotis brandtii (Brandt's bat), 2350 nucleotides long. It is a transcript of the gene named G patch domain and KOW motifs-containing protein, with no coding region annotated. Lineage: Eukaryota; Metazoa; Chordata; Mammalia; Chiroptera; Vespertilionidae. The transcript has 2 exons. The record is from RefSeq and is a predicted model, not a curated record.
UUUCUGGAAACGAGGAAUCCCUGGGGAAAACCCCCAUGGGGAAGGCGUGGAAAGAGCACCGAUUUGGGAGGUGGAGUCCUGGAGCCUGACGGAGCAAGGGGUUUCCUGUGGGCGGUGGGUUUCUUGAGCCACGAGAGGAGAGAAGUACAUCUAGCAGGGCCUCCUGUGCUGCUCCGAGAGAUUUGGAUUUUGUUCUGAAAGCUGAAUUCGGUAGAUGCGUAUCUUAGAUACCCUGUCGUGUAGAAAAAAGCGUUGGACAGUGAGCAACCACCCUCGGGAGCUCAUUGCAGUAAUUCCCAGGAGAAUUGCUGAGGGUUUUAAAGAGUGGCUGGCAGUGGGAGAGGAGAGGAGAGGAGAGAAGAGAGGAGGGGAGGGCAGGGGAGGGGAGUUGAGUUGUGAAUUGGUAUGGAGAUGGAAUACACCAUACCCAGUAUUGUUCAGUAAGAAUGUAUUGAAGAGGACUCUGUUCCUGGAAUUUUCCAACCUAUGACUAUCUGUUAAGGAAAGGCCCAGCAUUUUUUUUUUUUAAACUGCAGAUGUUGCUUUGUAGAUGGUAAUCGAAUCCCAGUUUAUGGUGGGGAAAUGGUCACAUGUAUCAAAGGUGUUGAGAUCAGGAUGAUUAAACAUACUGGACUCUUGUAACCCAGUAGAUGCAAAUUAAACCCAUACUUAGAUCACUUUCUAUCCAUCAGAUUAGAAAUAAUAAAGUUUGAGGAGGAGCAAGAUGGGAGACGCUGAAGAGGGUGCUUUUCGGCAGGCAGGACCCUCCACUGCCCCAAUUUCGUUCAGCUUCAUUCGCACGGCUGCCCGGAGACGGCUGGCAGACCCGGGAGAUGGCCUGGGUGCGGCUCUCAAAGAGAACGGUUUCUUGAUUGUGGAAGGAAGGAAAUUGCAGAGUGUUAAUCCCUCAGAAGCCCCCAGGGAACUUGUCGUCCCUUUGAUUCAAAAUGGCCCUGGAAGACUGCCACCAACCCAGGCUCCUGGCCCAUCUGCUGAGGCCAUGGUGGAUGGGGUGCUGUCCCAGGCUGUGAAGGAGCUCAUGGAGGAAUCCGAGAAGUCUCUGGAGGAGAAAGAGAAUGAGGGUGUUGACCCCAUACUCCCUCUCUCCAUGAUCCAGAACAGAUGCAUACCCAGCGAGGAAGGGGCAGACAGCGAGCCCUGGCCCGAGACAGUACCCAAAGAGGCAGAUUAUGAGGCAGUCCCUGUGGAGGCUUAUGGGCUGGCCAUGUUGCAGGGCAUGGGCUGGAAACCUGGCCAGGGCAUCGGCUGCACCUUCAAUGAAGUGGUGAAGCCCCGUGUCAACACACCGAGGCCGAAAGGGUUAGGGCUAGGCACCAGCCUGAUUGAGCUCCAGGCCCUGGCCCCCACCAGCCCCCUCCGCCUGCUGAGGCCAGAUGAGGAACACGAGAAAGAUAAGGAAGACCAGCCUCAAGGACUGGCACCUGGAAGAGCUGUGGUGGUGCUUGCUGGCCCUCACCGAGGCCUCUAUGGUAAGGUGGAAGGCGUCGAUCCUGACAAUGUCCAGGCCAUCGUUCGUUUGGCCGUGGGGAACCGCAUGGUGACUGUGCAGGAGUACUUCCUCAGGACUGUUUCCCAGCAGGAAUUUGACAAGAACUCCUUGGAUCUCAGCCAGGUGAGCAAAACUUCUCCAGGGGGAACAGCCUUGUCCCGGAAGGCCUUCCAGGAUCCAGACCUCCCCGCCCAGUGGGGAGCGGAAGAGAGGAAGAGGAAACACCUUCCAGGCCUGCAAGAGGAGCUGACAUCCAAGAGGGUGAAAGCAGCUUCCAGGAGGCAGCACUGGUUGCACAGGGACCUGCGUGUGCGGUUCGUGGACAAACUGCACAAGUAUUAUAACACCAAGAUGACAAUUGAAGAUGUCUUCAGUCCAGAUACUUGUAUAUGUCAGACAGAUGAAGGCCAGGUCCUGGAAGGCGUCAGGGAAGACAUGCUGGAGACCCUUGUCCCCAAGGUCCAGGGCAGCCGAGUGAUGGUGGUGCUGGGGCCACAGGCUGGAAGGGUGGGCCAUCUGCUGCGCUGGGACAGAGAGCAGAGCCAGGCCGUGGUUCACCUGCAGAGAGAGAACCGGCUGGUGGAGCUGCACUAUGAUGCUGUCUGCGAGUACGUGGGUCCCCGUGACUCAGACGAAGACUGACCCAUGGAUUCACUCCAUUCCCCAGGCAGUUCCCAGUUCUGUCCUGUGGAAAGCCUGUCUUUGUGAAGGUGGGGAGGUCAUUGUUCCGUCCUGCACGUGCAGCCCUGGAUGGUACAAAAUGGAUAGACCAGAAGAGAGGCUAGAAGCAAACCUAGUAUUUACCAGCAUUGAUAUAAAAUAAAAACCAUUUUAAAAAAA